GACGAACGCUGGCGGCGUGCCUAAUACAUGCAAGUAGAACGCUGAAGGAGGAGCUUGCUCUUCUGGAUGAGUUGCGAACGGGUGAGUAACGCGUAGGUAACCUGCCUGGUAGCGGGGGAUAACUAUUGGAAACGAUAGCUAAUAUCGCAUAACAGUAGAUGUUGCAUGACAUUUACUUAAAGGGUGCAAUUGCAUCACUACCAGAUGGACCUGCGUUGUAUUAGCUAGUUGGUGGGGUAACGGCUCACCAAGGCGACGAUACAUAGCCGACCUGAGAGGGUGAUCGGCCACACUGGGACUGAGACACGGCCCAGACUCCUACGGGAGGCAGCAGUAGGGAAUCUUCGGCAAUGGACGGAAGUCUGACCGAGCAACGCCGCGUGGGUGAAGAAGGUUUUCGGAUCGUAAAGCUCUGUUGUAAGAGAAGAACGAGUGUGAGAGUGGAAAGUUCACACUGUGACGGUAUCUUACCAGAAAGGGACGGCUAACUACGUG
This 495-nucleotide ribosomal RNA is filed under the name uncultured bacterium. Its description in RNAcentral is "partial 16S ribosomal RNA". It matches the Rfam family "Bacterial small subunit ribosomal RNA", at positions 28 to 507 of the family's 1533-position model. The record is from RNAcentral.